This is a non-coding RNA of Nicotiana tabacum (common tobacco), 2954 nucleotides long. NCBI's taxonomy places the organism in Eukaryota, Viridiplantae, Streptophyta, Magnoliopsida, Solanales, Solanaceae. The record is from RefSeq and is a predicted model, not a curated record.
CUCCUACUGCUUUAAUCAAUUAAAAUAACUUUUACAAUCUAAUAAACAAGUAUUACAAUUAAUUUAAUAAUUUAGUCCCAAAUUUGUAACUAUAUUAUCUUUAUUACUUUAACUAGCCGAAAUUAGUUUUUACAAUUUAAUAGAAAAAGUAUUCAAAUUAAUUUUGCUAACCAAUUAAUUACAGUAAUUAACUAAUAAUAUAUUUGAUAAUUAUAAUUGAUUACAUUUAAUUAGGAUUUAUUAAGUCUAAUUAAUUUGAUUAUAAAAGGGGUUAAAAUUCAAAAAGGCUACAAUUACAAUUGUUCAAUUAAAUUCAAUGUGGCUAUGAAUUAAAUUCAUACCCAGCUGAUUUAGCCCAAACCACAUGCCCAAAAUGCUUGACCCUUUCCAGAACCCACCUCCUCUGUCCAAGAUGGAAAUCCAUGCUGCCCCUUCUAAGCCAAUGGUAAUGCGCCACGCCAUCCCUUUCCAACACUCACAAAAGAAAUACAAAAUGAUCCGGAUCAUUGAUCCAAUUCAUCAACGGUCCAUAAUUAAUCUCUAUUUUUCUUUUAUUGUUAAACUUUUGCUGGAUCUCAUCUCAACUGUUGGAUCACAAAGAUCAAAAGAUCGUCGUUUUUUCCACAAUAAAUGCUUAUCAAUUUUUCUAAACUCCAAAAAAUUGGAGCCGUUGAUCAAAUGAUCCAACGACUCAUAUUGCAUCUCACUUUUAACCUAAGAGACACCACUAACGCUAAUCAUUCCUCCACAUGACACGCCGCCCUCUUUCCCCAUUCUCUUAGUUUUCUCUCAAUUCUACAAACCCCAUCAAUCCAAAACCUUGCACAAAUUUGUGCAAGGUCACCUAAAUCAAACCAAAUCACCCCUUUUGUCCCCUCAAUCCUCGAAUCCCACCGGAUUAUUUCCAUUUUCACAACUCUAAUUCAAAUUCCCAAAUCUCCGAAACCCUAGACCUAAAACGUUCAAAUGAGAAUACUAUUAUCCUUUAUCUGUUCCUUCAAAUCAAGCAUGCAUGACCAUCGAUCUUCAAUGUCAUCAUCAUUAUUCGUUGUCCAGAAGUCAAACGCAGUGACCUCUGGACAUGGAGCUCUGACCGAUGGUCCUUCACUCUUUAAACGGUCGACUCCUCCUCCAUUAUCAUGAUAACGAAAAUCUCCAUUAUUUUCCCCUCUGUUCUAUUCUAAUUUUCCACUUCUUGCUAUUAUCAUCUGUCAAUCGUCAUUCUCCACUAUCUAUUGAACUCAAACGGAACCCUAGUGACUUGAAUGCCACUAUGAAUAAAGCAUUGAAUACUCACACCUAACAUACCUAAAAACACCAGAAAAUACACUAAAAGUAAUGAAGAGCAUAAAAAUUCAAACUUUCUGCUAAGCUUAAGUUCUAGUAGUACUUAUCUAUUUUCUUAUUUUUCUUUCUUUCAUUUAUGUUCGAGUUCAACCACCGUGAGUUGAUCGUUGUGAGUUUGGGGUUCCUAGACGAUUACUAAUCUCAUUUGCUUGGUUUGUUGCUCCACAGAAGGUCGGUGUAUACUGAACCCCUCUCUUUUAUUUUUUAAAUUAGUUAUUCAAUAUUGUGUUUAUGUUGUUUACCCGAUAAUCACCUGUUUGUUCUUGAUAAUGUAUGGUUCUUCUUAUUAUAACCUGAUAUUCAUGUCACUAUGUUCUUUUAAUAUUAGUGGGUUUCCUGAUAAUUGUGUUGUCUUCAAUGGCUAUUGAACUUUACCUGUCAUGACUUAAUUAGUAAAAAUGCUUAUGCGCUAUUUUUACUCUUAUGAACAAAUCCUAUUGAACCUUUUAUGAUUAUCUGAGCCAAACCUUAUGUUGAUAUUAUGUGUGUUCUAUCCCUGUUAGUUAAAUGAUGGCCAUCCUACCCUGUUAGCUAAAUCGAUUGAGUUAUAUUUUUAAGCUUUCUCCUGAUAUCCUGUUAAGAUAUCACACCUGCUGCACUGUGCUAUCUUGAUCCUUAUGCUUAUGAUAUCAUGUAGCAUUGUUUUUGUUAAAUAAAAUGAAUCUUACCACUGUUCGCACUCUCAUGUUGAUCGUUUUGACUCCAAUUGAUAACUUGUUUAUGAUAAUGUGAUUAAAUGAUUCAUGUGUUUAUUGUGGUGGUCUGAAAUAAAAGAAAUCAUAUAAUGAACCUUGUUGGUCUGCUCACACAUCUGGAUGCAACUUGUUAGGACCAGUUAUGCAAUGAGUGUCACCGUUUUAGCAUCUCAUGACUGUUUUGGCUUUGUGAUAGUAUGUUUCAUCUAUAUUGUUGUAUUGGCUGAAUGAUACCUAUUUGACUUCUGCACCUAUGUCUACACUUAUCAUAUUGUUUCUGCUAAUCCAGUAGUGUUCAGGAACCAUUGCAUUCCUUUAGCUAAGAGAACUUCAUGUUUAAGUCACCAUGUUGGUUUGCUUGUAGUCUCCUAUUAAUCUUCCCUAAUGGUUGCGCUUAUCUCAUCAUGCUAAUCUAAUUACUUAGAUAAAGAGCCUUAGAUAGUAGUCAUGCUUGGUCUAUAUUGAUUAUGUCUAGCUGAAAAAUAAAAAAAUGGCUUGGAUGUUAUCAUGAUAAUCUAAUAAAGGUAUGGGUACAUCUUAACCUUGGGUAUCACAGUAUUCCUACUUGUCAAUUUAAAAUGAUGUUAUGCAUUCAUCUACCUAUUUCGUUUUGGCCAUUUAUGUUUGGUUUUUUAUGAUCGUGUGAUGUCUGAGACAUUAUUCGGGAGGACUUCCCUUGUCAAUUUCAGUAACUGCUCACUUUGGUAACCUAAUAGCUUGACUGAAUGUUGUUGAACAUGUACUAUGCCUGUAGGAUCUCAAAUGGAAGGUUUUGAUGAAGUGCUUCUGAGCUAUGUAGAUGUUGUGGAGCUAAUCCGAGCUAUUUGGAGAUUUAAAGUUUGAGUAAAUGCCCAAAGGAUUCAGCCGAGAUCGUGUUCGGGGGGUCGAGGACCAAGUUUGGAUGUCAAAAAA